GACGAACGCUGGCGGCGUGCUUAACACAUGCAAGUCGAACGGUAAGGCCCCUUCUUUGUUGGAUGGUCGAGUGGAGAAUCGCUCAGGACAGCGUCACUCACAUGACCUUGACUAUUCGCUAACUUCACCGCACUCGGGCUUAUCCAGCAUCGGAGAUCCUGGAUCUGUCGAGCGCUCGGUCAGUUUCAGAUGUUGUGCAUGGACUCGCGGCUGAUCAGCUUGUUGGUGGGGUAGUGGCUUACCAAGGCUUCGACGGGUAGCCGGCCUGAGCGGGUGACCGGCCACAUUGGGACUGAGAUAGGGCUCAGACUUGUACGGGAGGCAGCAGUGGGGAAUAUUGCACAACGGGCGGAAGCCUGAAGCAGCAACGCCCCGCGCGUGAUGACGGCCUUCGGGUGGUAAACCGCUUUCGCCUGGGACGAAGCGUGGGUGACGGUAAUUGGUAAAGAAGCACCGGCUAACUACGUG
Molecule: ribosomal RNA, 468 nt
Filed under: uncultured bacterium
Lineage: Bacteria
Description: partial 16S ribosomal RNA
Rfam family: Bacterial small subunit ribosomal RNA
Source: RNAcentral